RNAcentral lists this ribosomal RNA (449 nucleotides) under uncultured bacterium. Its description in RNAcentral is "partial 16S ribosomal RNA". It matches the Rfam family "Bacterial small subunit ribosomal RNA", at positions 29 to 523 of the family's 1533-position model. The record is from RNAcentral.
AGCGAACGCUGGCGGCAGGCCUAACACAUGCAAGUCGAACGGAUCCUUCGGGAUUAGUGGCGGACGGGUGAGUAACACGUGGGAAUGUGCCCUUUGGUUCGGAACAACUCAGGGAAACUUGAGCUAAUACCGGAUGUGCCCUUCGGGGGAAAGAUUUAUCGCCAUUGGAGCGGCCCGCGUCUGAUUAGCUAGUUGGAGAGGUAAAGGCUCACCAAGGCGACGAUCAGUAGCUGGUCUGAGAGGAUGAUCAGCCACAUUGGGACUGAGACACGGCCCAAACUCCUACGGGAGGCAGCAGUGGGGAAUCUUGCGCAAUGGGCGAAAGCCUGACGCAGCCAUGCCGCGUGAAUGAUGAAGGUCUUAGGAUUGUAAAAUUCUUUCACCGGGGACGAUAAUGACGGUACCCGCAGAAGAAGUCCCGGCUAACUCCGUGCCAGCAGCCGCGGUAA